CUACGGGAGGCAGCAGUGGGGAAUAUUGGACAAUGGGCGAAAGCCUGAUCCAGCCAUGCCGCGUGUGUGAAGAAGGUCUUCGGAUUGUAAAGCACUUUAAGUUGGGAGGGAGGGUUGUAGCUUAAUACGCUGCAACCUUGACGUUACCAACAGAAUAAGCACCGGCUAACUCUGUGCCAGCAGCCGCGGUAAUA
Molecule: ribosomal RNA, 194 nt
Filed under: uncultured Pseudomonas sp.
Lineage: Bacteria; Pseudomonadati; Pseudomonadota; Gammaproteobacteria; Pseudomonadales; Pseudomonadaceae
Description: partial 16S ribosomal RNA
Rfam family: Bacterial small subunit ribosomal RNA
Source: RNAcentral